GAUGAACGCUGGCGGCGUGCCUAAUACAUGCAAGUAGAACGCUGAAGGAGGAGCUUGCUCUUCUGGAUGAGUUGCGAACGGGUGAGUAACGCGUAGGUAACCUGCCUGGUAGCGGGGGAUAACUAUUGGAAACGAUAGCUAAUACCGCAUGACAACAGUUAUUGCAUGAUAACUGUUUAAAAGGGGCAACUGCUCCACUACCAGAUGGACCUGCGUUGUAUUAGCUAGUUGGUGAGGUAACGGCUCACCAAGGCGACGAUACAUAGCCGACCUGAGAGGGUGAUCGGCCACACUGGGACUGGGACACGGCCCAGACUCCUACGGGAGGCAGCAGUAGGGAAUCUUCGGCAAUGGACGGAAGUCUGACCGAGCAACGCCGCGUGAGUGAAGAAGGUUUUCGGAUCGUAAAGCUCUGUUGUAAGAGAAGAACGAGUGUGAGAGUGGAAAGUUCACACUGUGACGGUAUCUUACCAGAAAGGGACGGCUAACUACGUG
This 495-nucleotide ribosomal RNA is filed under the name uncultured bacterium. RNAcentral's name for it is "partial 16S ribosomal RNA". It matches the Rfam family "Bacterial small subunit ribosomal RNA", at positions 28 to 507 of the family's 1533-position model. The record is from RNAcentral.